CAAACUGGAGAUGGCGACCGGCGCACGGGUGAGUAACACGUAUCCAACCUGCCGAUAACUCGGGGAUAGCCUUUCGAAAGAAAGAUUAAUACCCGAUGGCAUAAUUGAACCGCAUGGUUUGAUUAUUAAAGAAUUUCGGUUAUCGAUGGGGAUGCGUUCCAUUAGGCAGUUGGUGGGGUAACGGCCCACCAAACCUUCGAUGGAUAGGGGUUCUGAGAGGAAGGUCCCCCACAUUGGAACUGAGACACGGUCCAAACUCCUACGGGAGGCAGCAUG
RNAcentral lists this ribosomal RNA (276 nucleotides) under uncultured bacterium. Its description in RNAcentral is "partial 16S ribosomal RNA". It matches the Rfam family "Bacterial small subunit ribosomal RNA", at positions 77 to 353 of the family's 1533-position model. The record is from RNAcentral.